Molecule: ribosomal RNA, 502 nt
Filed under: uncultured bacterium
Lineage: Bacteria
Description: bacterial SSU rRNA
Rfam family: Bacterial small subunit ribosomal RNA
Source: RNAcentral
AUCCUGGCUCAGAUUGAACGCUGGCGGCAGGCCUAACACAUGCAAGUCGAAUGGUAACAGGAAACAGCUUGCUGUUUCGCUGACGAGUGGCGGACGGGUGAGUAAUGUCUGGGAAACUGCCUGAUGGAGGGGGAUAACUACUGGAAACGGUAGCUAAUACCGCAUAACGUCGCAAGACCAAAGAGGGGGACCUUCGGGCCUCUUGCCAUCAGAUGUGCCCAGAUGGGAUUAGCUAGUAGGUGGGGUAACGGCUCACCUAGGCGACAAUCCCUAGCUGGUCUGAGAGGAUGACCAGCCACACUGGAACUGAGACACGGUCCAGACUCCUACGGGAGGCAGCAGUGGGGAAUAUUGCACAAUGGGCGCAAGCCUGAUGCAGCCAUGCCGCGUGUAUGAAGAAGGCCUUCGGGUUGUAAAGUACUUUCAGCGGGGAGGAAGGGAGUAAAGUUAAUACCUUUGCUCAUUGACGUUACCCGCAGAAGAAGCACCGGCUAACUCCGUG